GUCCUCGUAGCUUAAUAUUAAAGCAUGACACUGAAGAUGCCAAGAUGGUUAAAUCACCCUCAUACCCGAGGACA
This 74-nucleotide transfer RNA is filed under the name Chionis minor (black-faced sheathbill). RNAcentral describes it as "tRNA-Phe". It matches the Rfam family "tRNA". From Rfam's summary of the family: Transfer RNA (tRNA) molecules are approximately 80 nucleotides in length. Lineage: Eukaryota; Metazoa; Chordata; Aves; Charadriiformes; Chionidae. The record is from RNAcentral.